This 988-nucleotide long non-coding RNA is filed under the name Pan troglodytes (chimpanzee). Its description in RNAcentral is "long non-coding RNA NONPTRT003752". The record is from RNAcentral. Lineage: Eukaryota; Metazoa; Chordata; Mammalia; Primates; Hominidae.
CAGGAGAACCAGGUGCAUCAGCGCAUUGCGGAGCUGAGGAAAGCAGGUCUGUGGUCCCAGAGGCGUCUGCUGAAGCUGCAGGAGGCCCCACGGCCCAAGUCCCACUGGGACUGUCUGCUGGAGGAGAUGCAGUGGAUGGCCACAGACUUUGCCCAGGAGAGGUGGAAGGUGGCCUCUGUGAAGAAGAUGGUCAGAGCUGUGGCCCGGCAGCUGCAGGACAGGACGCGCAGGGAGGCCGGGGCCAGGAGGGAGGAGCCGAGCAGGCUGAAGCAGACGUCACCUGUACUACCAGAGAAAUCGAGCGUCCCUGGUCUAGUACUGCGCAGGUAAAGAUUCCAGCAUCUUUGAAGCAAGUGCUCCACUGGAAAAUAAAAGCGACGUGGAGCACUUGAUUAGACUCCAGAAACAGAAACUGCAGCUGCUCCCACCACCCCCACCACCGCAGGCCCUCCCCGGGGCGCAGCCAACCACACAAGUGCAAGUGCAGCCAUCACCCCCCACCACAGCAGAGCCCCCAGCUCACCACGGUCACGGCCCCGAGACCCAGAGCCCUGUUGAUGGGCACCACCAUGGCCAACCUCCAGACUCGAGUUUCCACCUCCCACCUGCAAGGCCCAAGACUGAUGUCAGCGCUGACGUACCAGAUGGCCCAGGUUGCUGUGGCCACGCCUCCUGUGGUGUCUGUCCUGGCAGUUGUGGUGCUGUCAGCCAGGGUCACAGUGCUUCCAUCAACGCAACGGGAUCAGUGUUGUGAUAAGGCAGCUGCAAAAAGCGGCAGUUGCAAAAGAUGGUGAAGAACUCAAGCUGAAGAGGUGUCUGCUGAAUUUUGUUGCUUCGGUAGGAGCUUUUCACCAUCAGUUUUUAGAAAGUACGCAUGACUCUCCUUCUGUUGAUAUCUCUCUUGAUUUGGCAAAGAGUACAAGGAGGACCGCAAAGGGUUGCCAUAUAAUCAUCACAAAUAGAUCCAGGGAUACCAUAUCAGGUCCUG